AUGGUAUGUACUGGCUUUACUGAUUCCUCCUUCUUGAAGAACUGUAAUGUCAUUAAUUUGGUGUUGCAGGGAAACAGGACUGUUACUUUGAAAAAAUUAGAGUGUUUAAAGCAAGCUAACGCUUGAAUACAUUAGCAUGGAAUAAUGAAAUAGGACGUUCGAUCCUAUUUUGUUGGUUUCUAGGAUUGACGUAAUGAUUAAUAGGGAUAGUUGGGGGCAUUAGUAUUCAAUUGUCAGAGGUGAAAUUCUUGGAUUUAUUGAAGACUGACUACUGCGAAAGCAUUUGCCAAGGAUGUUUUCAUUAAUCAAGAACGAAAGUUAGGGGAUCGAAAACAAUCAGAUACCGUCGUAGUCUUAACCAUAAACUAUGCCGACUAGGGAUCGGAUGAUGUUAAUUUUUUAAUGACCCCUCU
RNAcentral lists this ribosomal RNA (413 nucleotides) under uncultured Glomeromycotina. RNAcentral describes it as "SSU rRNA". It matches the Rfam family "Eukaryotic small subunit ribosomal RNA", at positions 670 to 1081 of the family's 1831-position model. The record is from RNAcentral. Lineage: Eukaryota; Fungi; Glomeromycota.